AAAAAUCUGAAUUUCUAUAUAAUUUCUCUGAAAUAUAACAUAGAAGAGUAUAGAAAUCAUAUCUAUCCAUGUCACCAGUAACUCCCACUGUAUCUAGCCUAGAGUUAGUGUUCAGAUUAUAUUUUUCUAAAUAAAUAGAUUUUAUUUUAGAGAUACCUAUUUUAAAAGGCACAUUUUUUUUUUCUCAUAGGAAAGCUUAUAAAAUACUCAUGGAUUUGGCUCAGCGAUUCUCCCACCUGCCUUGCAAAUGCAAGGACCUGAGUUCGAUCCCCGGUACAAAAGAAAAGAAAACAAAACAAAAGAAAAAAAAAAACACUCAUGGAGAGUAAGUCAGUAUAAUGCAGAAGACUGCUACAGGAUGCCUCCUUGGAAUAUUAGUCACAGCUACUUAAGACUCUUCUGUUUUUUUCUCUUCCUCCUGGGACUUCUCUCCACUACUAUUAUCAAAUUAAGUAAGUAAUGGAUGUAAAAUUCCUCUUUUAUA
Fukomys damarensis (Damara mole-rat) is the source of this 484-nucleotide long non-coding RNA. The record is from Ensembl. NCBI's taxonomy places the organism in Eukaryota, Metazoa, Chordata, Mammalia, Rodentia, Bathyergidae.